RNAcentral lists this long non-coding RNA (12722 nucleotides) under Capsicum annuum. RNAcentral describes it as "long non-coding RNA (CANN_LNC008191)". The record is from RNAcentral. Lineage: Eukaryota; Viridiplantae; Streptophyta; Magnoliopsida; Solanales; Solanaceae.
AAACGUCAAAUGCAUCAAACAAAAAUUUUUUAUUAAACAAAAAAAUAAAAAUACAUAGGUAAAAGAAAAAAAAGCUUAAUUAUUAUUAUCAUCAUUAUUAUUUGUAUGGCCAGCCAGCCGAUCUUCAACCAGCAGCAGCAGUGCCCUCUCUUCCGCAGCAUCCUUACUCUGACAGCGGCCAACUCCCACUGUAGGUCAAGAAUUUCCUUCUGCAGUUCCCGCAUGGCGUCUCGUAAAAUAGCGACAUCCCACAUUAGAUUAGCCAUAUCUAGAAAACAUGUAAGUUGACAAAACACACGUAAAAUAAGAGUAAAGAAAAGAAAGAAUUUGAAUGUAAUACAACAUAUAUUUACACAAAAAUCAAGAAAAAACUUACUAGAGACAAGAAAAUGCUAUCAAGUCCUUGAAGAGAAAGUAGUUGAAGGUGUAACAAGAGCAAGAAAUAAAUAGAGUGUAGUAGAAUAAACGAUUGAGUAAGGAUGUACUAUUUAUAGAGGAUUGAACUUGAAUGUGUUAGGCAAAAAGUUGCAACUGUUCACCUCCAUUUAUUAAUGACAUUUCUUGCUUACUAUGAAAAGUUAUGACUUAAUUAAAUUAAGCAAUAUUGUGGUACGUCAUGACUUUUCAGCUUAUUAUUAUUAAUAAUUAGUUCUUUUCAGGAACCGUUUUAUAUUGAGUUGUGACAACGGAUUAUAUAUCUGUUGCAUCAGAUAACUCACCUGUGAUAACAAAUAUAUCAUGAUAAUAUAUCUGUUUCAACAUAUAAUCUAUAUAUUAAGUUGAAAGCUUAUUAUUAUUAAUUAGUUCUUAAAUUUAAAUUAACUUUUUUUCUCAAUUUAAAAAUCGAAGACACCUAGUUUUCAAUAACCGUUUCUUUAAUGAAAUAAUAAUCAUUUUUUUUAUUGAGUUAUGGCAACAGAUUGUAUAUCUGUUGCAUCAGAUAACCCAUCUGUUGCAACAAAUCGACUAUCUGUUUUAGGAGCUUUUUUUAUUUCUUCUAAAAAUUGAUUCAUCAAUCGCAACAAAUGAGGAAUUUGAUGCAUCAACAACGUUGUUUGUUUGUUGAAUGUGUUUAGACAAAAAGUCAGAGUCAUGACUAUUUACCUUUUUCUUAACAAUCAUCAUAUAACUUAAUUAAUCCAAUGUUGUAAUUUUUUUUUAAAUUAAAUAAUCUUUCUUUCACGAUUAUAAAUUGUGUAUAUCAUUUAGUUCCUUAUUAUUUAUUAACGAACCAUUUUAAGGAGAAUCAUGACUUUUCACCACCCUCUGUUGCCACAAGUUCUCAAUCCCUACCUCCAACCGUCGACAUGUUGAGAAUAGGGAAUAAAUAGAAUGAUAAUUAAAUAUUAAAUAAGAAUUAAAAAUUCAAAGUCGAUCAAACCAAACAAAACACAUACAUAGAUUUUUGAAUCCCUUAUAGGCAGAUCCGAUAUAAAAAAGGAAAAUACAUACACUAAAAGAAAGAAAAAACAUAACCUAAUUAUUAUUACUAUUAUUAUUAUUAUUAUUAUUAUUACUAUUAUUACUGUCAACUGGACAAUUUUCAUCCGACAACAGCAGGGCCUUCCCCAGUCUUGCUCUGAAGUUGGCCAAAUCCCUCUGGAGUUCCCGGAAGGAAUUGAUAUGAAUCUUCUUGUAUGAAUCUGGAUCAACCAUAUUUGUAUUGUAAGUGUAGUAGAAUGAACGAGUGAAAGUAAGGAAGGGAGUAAGGAAAGGAUGCCAGAGGGACCUAUUUAUAAAUGAUUGAAUUGGAAGGGGUGACUUAGUCAAACAAAAGCCACGAUUAUUCAUAUCCCUUAAUUAAAUAAAACUAGUGACUUUUCAAAUAUGUAAAGUAAAAAAAAUGAAUCUAAAGACAAUAUUUUAUCUUUUUAUUAUAUUUCGAAAAGAAAAGAAAAUUGCUUUAAAAUAAAUCUAACAGAUAGGUAAUCCAUUGUAAAAUAUAUUCCAUCUGUCAGAUAACUUACAACAUAUUGACAAUUUGCUGCAACAGAUGGAUAUAUCAGUUUGCUUUUCCAAUAGAUGUGGUGUCUGUUGCAACUUGCUAGUUAUCUGUUUAUUCAAUCUAAGCCAUAGAUGGCUAGGAAGAAUAAGGUGCAUGCAGAUGGAUCCACUAUCAUAUGUGUGUGAUUUAAUUAGUAUUACUGAUAAGGUCACCGGGAUAACACACACAAAGUACAAUGUUUUUGUGAAUGCAGUUUUAACCGAUUAGGCACUGAUCAUUCAAACAAGAUCCUGUAUUGUACAGUUAAGUUUGAUGGGUUCGAAUUGAUAAGGCUAAGGGCCUCAUGAAGAUGGUACAGAUACCCUGUUAUGAAUUACUGACGGUUGUUNNNNNNNNNNNNNNNNNNNNNNNNNNNNNNNNNNNNNNNNNNNNNNNNNACCAAUAGCGCUUGGACUUAACUUUAAGUGUGCAUUGGACUCUGAGAACACCUUCGAAGCCUCGCACUACAUCAAACAAGAACGGAAAACCAAUAGAAAUUCCCCUGGCCCAAAUUUAUAUGGAAGGGUUGAUCGAGAAGAUAAUUAUACGCUAGAAUGAGCCGAAGGAGAAUGCCUGCGAGGGAAAAGGGAGUUGAUGAAAGACUAUAUCAUCUGAGAGCUAAUUGAAGAAGAGACAUAGGGUAGAAAGUAACUUCUAGCAAAUCUGGCUGAUGGAAUUAUCUUAAAACAUGAGAAAUCUAAAUCAAGUGCAAAUAUGAAAGUGUAUCCGGUAAUGUAAAUUCGUUUGUUGUCUCUCUGAAAGAAAAAUAAUGCAGAUGGACACUUUGCUAGGGAGCUACGACUAAGUAGCAUGGUUGGGAUUAUCACCUAGAUAGAAAAUAACAGAAGACUAAAAAAGCAGCCUUAAGGGCAUCGAGGGUUGAAAUGAUGUACAAUAAGUCUAGAAAACUUGCGCCAACAACAACUACAGUUAAAGUAAGGAAUCUAAGCUAAGGCGGCAAUUUUUAAAUUUUGAAUUGCAUCUCAUGCCUUCUUGUUUGUGGUUCCGAUUAGGUCACUGCUGUUGACCUGAUCGGAACCACAAACGUGAUUGAAAGCCAAAUUGAGUAUCAUUACUUCCUUACCAAUAUGGAUUAAUUGAUUGUGUUUUAUAGCCUUAGCAUGCUUUCAACAUUUCUUGGAGAAGAUCAGAGGCUUGCUCUAGUUUGUGAAUUUCGAUAAUUUUCAAGCUUGCCUCCAGCUUACUGAUUUUGUAUUCAAACUGGUCGUUUCCCUCUUCGAAGUUGGCAUAGAGUUCCUGAUCUCUUGUGAAAUCGAUCAGGAACACUACCUUCAAAGUUGUGGAAUUGAAGAAGGCCAUCAUAAAACUUUCUUCAAAAGCCUUAAAGGAUACAUGGAGGGUCACUGUGUUUGUUUUAGGUCAAAAUGUGUUGAUGCACACUGAAGAUGUGGUCCCAACAGUUGAAUAACACACGUUUAUUGAGCGUUGCUCAAUGCAGCUUGCUCAACCAAUUUGAUAAAUUAAUAAGCAAGGAUUUACGUAGCGUGUGAUCAAAACCGACUCUACCAAGCCUAUCAAACGUUACGUAACUCCAGGCUCAUUAUCCUAUCAAAAAAAUUUGACUGAGUUAGUGCACAAAUCAAAUAAGCUCAAUCUCUCAGCAAACGCUCUUCUCCAAUAUAGAUAACAAGAUAUCUGCUAUGCAAAAAUUUACAUCGUCUCCAGAAAUGCUUGCCAGGGCGCAAGUCUUCAGAUGGUAUCAUCAGUAAUCUCUCAAUAUCAAGUGAUAUUGAGAGAUUUCUAGUCAUGUCUUCUCAAGACUUUUGCUACGGCAAGAAUUUCUGCUGAUAACAAGAUAUCCGCCAUGCAAAAGUCUACAUCGUCAGCAAAAAUUCUUGACAGAGUGAAAGUCUUCAGAAGGCAUUAUUAAUAAUCUCUCAAGACUUCCUUAUUUUCAAAUGUCUUCUGAAGACUUUCGUACAAGACUUCCUUAAUAUUGAGAGAUUAUUAAUAAUACCUUCUGAAGACUUUCGCUCUGUCAAGAAUUUCUGCUGACGAUGUAGACUUUUGCAUGGCAGAUAUCUUGUCAUCAAUAGAAAUUCUUGCCGUAGCAAAAGUCUUGGGAAUGCAUGACUAGAAAUCUUUCAAUAUCACUUAAUAUUGAGAGAUUACUGAUGAUGUCAUCUGAAGACUUGCACCCUGACAAGCAUUUCUGGCGAUGGUGUAGUCUUUUGUAUAGCAGAUAUCUUGUCAUCUUUAUUGGAGAAGAGCGAUCAACAAAAAAUCUGAGAUAUUAAGCUCGUUUGAUUUGUGCACUAACUCAAGCCAAUUUUUUUGAUAGGUUAAUGAGCCUGGAGUUACAUAAUGUUUGAUAGGCUUGGUAUAGUCGGUUUUGAUCAUAUGCUACGUAACUCCUUGCUUAUUAAUUUAUCAAAUUGGUUGAGCAAGCUGCAUUGAGCAACGCUCGAUAAAAGUGUGUUGUUCAACUGAUGGGACCAUAUCUUCAGUGUGCAUCAAUACAUUUUGACCUCAAACAAAUACAACGACCCUCCAUGUAUCCUUUAAGGCUUCUGAAGAAAGUGUUCUGAAGGCCUUCUAAAAUGCCACAACUUUGAAGGUGGUGUUCCUAAUUGAGCUCACAAAAGAUCAGGAACUCUAGACCAACUUCGAAGACGACAACAACAAGCUUGAAUAUAGAAUCAAAAAGCUAGAGGCAAGCUUGAAAAUUAUCAAAAUUCACAAACUAGAACAAGCCUCUAAUCUUCUCCAAGAAAUGUUGAAAGCAUGUUAAAGAUAUAAAACAUAAUCAAUUAUAACCAUAUUGCUAUGGAAGUGAUGAUAGUCAAUUUGCCUUUCAAUCACGUUUGUGGUUCCGAUCAGGUCAACAAAAGUGGACCUAAUCGGAACCACAAACAAGAAGGCAUGGGAUGCAAUUUAAAAUUCAAAAAUUGUCGCCUUUGCUUAGAUUCCUUACUGUAAUUGCAGUUGUUGUUGGUGCAAGUUUUCUAGACUUACAGUACAUCAUUUCAACCCUCGAUUCCCUUAAGGCAACUUUCUUGGUCUUCUGCUAUUUUCUAUCUAGGUGAUAAUCCCGACCACACUACCUAGCAAAGUGACCAUCUGCACUAUUUUUCUCUUAGAGAAACAACAUACAGAUUUUUCAUUACCGAAUACACUUUCAUAUUUGCACUUGAUACAAAUUUCUCAUGUUUUAAGAUAAUUUCAUCGGCCAGAUUCGCUAGAAGUUACUUUCUACCUUAUGUCUCUUCUUCAAUUAGCUCUCAGAUGAUAUAGUCUUUCAUAAACCAUCCAUUUUCCCUCGAAGGCAUUCUCCUACCGCACCUACUGGCGUAUAAGCAUCACCCCGAGCAACCCAACCAUAUAAAUUUGGGCUAGGGCAAUAACUAUAUUAUUUUUUCGUUCUUGUUAGAUGUAGUGCUAGGUUUCAAAGGCCUUCCCCGAGUCCAAUGCACCCUAAAAGUUAGUUCAAUCGCUAUUGAAUCUCUUUACUAUGACACCAAAACUAGAUCCCUUCACAAUGCUUGACAAAUAAACAUGAUCAACAACCGAUAUUAAAUCUUAACAGGGUAUCAGAACAAUAUUCAUGGUCCCUCAGCCUUAUCAGUUCGGACCUACCAAACUUAAUUAUAAAAUUGCAGAUAUCUUGUUUGAAUGAUUUAUGACUAAUCGUUAAAAACAAUAUUCACAAAAUCAGUGUACUCUAUGUGCGUUUCCACGAUAACAUUAUCAGUAAUACAUACCUCCUAUAUAUGAAGUGGUUCCAUAUGCAUGCAGUUUAUUAAUCCGAACCUAUUUUUACUGUAGCCUCUUAUGAUGGUCGGGCAAAAGUUGAUCAACUUUUAUUUUCUUAUAUCUACAAAGAAGAGGAAAAAAAAUUAAUGUCAUAGAAAGAACAUUAUCUAUCUGUUGCAACAGAUAUAGAGUCUGUUGCAUCUGAUGAGGAGUCUGUUGCAUCUGAUGUGGAGUCUGAUACAACAAAUGUGGAGUCUAUUGCAACAGAUGUAGAGUCUAUUGCAACAGAUGUAAAGUCUAUUGCAACAGAUGUGUAGUCUGUUGGAAUACAUCAAACCAGUCUUGCUGAUGGUUUGAUUUGUUCCAAUAGUUGCUCCGUCUGUUCCAACGUCAACAACAAUAUAAACUAUAAAGAAACAACAAAUAAAAAACAUCAACAACAAAGAAAACAACAACAUUUGUUCCAACAACAUCAUCAACAACAAAAAAGCUACAUCCUUUGUUCCAACACCACACCACAAGUUCCAACAACGCCAACCCACCAACAACAUCAAUAACAACAUCAACAAUAAACAAACAAACAAAAUACAUACAAAAAAAUGAUACUGCCAACAAGGCUUUUAAACUUCUCCUAGCAGAUGACUUUUUUCGCAUAUUGUAAUAAAAAUUCUCGGUUCAUUUAUUCAACAAUUAAAAGUUCCUUCAAGUGAUUUAAAUAAAUAUGAUAUGGAUAAAUGGUAAUUAAAUAUAAAAAUAGAUGUAAAUAACUUGCAAAGAAGAAGACGAAAAUAAAAAAGCAAUAGUGAACCAUACCUUAAUGUCAAAAGGGGAUCAAAAUAACAAUUUCAGUAGAGAAAUCUAAGAUAUGGAUCGGUUUAGAUUCGAAAGAAUCUUUAUGAGAAAGAGGAGAGAAAAAAGGCUGUAAUAACCCUAAAGAGGAGAGAAAGAAAAAGAUGAAAGACGAAUAAAAUAAAUUUAGGGCUGAAGGAGAGAUGAAAUAAUUCUAAUUUCUAGAUGUACUACCCUUAAUAUUAAAUUACUAAACAAAGUGUAUUUAUUCAAAUUUAUAUUUUCAAAGCAUAAUUAAUAAGGCUAAUUUGGUAAAAUAAAUCCCUAAUUAAUUUUUUUUAUAAUGGGUGUGCCAAGUCAAUAGGGGUCAACUAAUAUGAAACGGAGGAAGUAUUAGGGGCUUCAAUAUUCAUUAAUUAAUAUUUAUUAAUAAUUUGAGGGGCACGAGGAAGAAAACGGAUGACAUUGAAAAGACAGGACAAGACUACUCAAUGAGAUUUUUGAGUUAUUCAAGAAAUAUUUUUUACCACCUUUAGUAGUACUACUUUAUCUACUUGGAUAGAAGCUUUCUUUAAAAUUAAAAGAAAAAAAAAUUUCAAACAGAUAUGUCGUCUGUUGGAACAGAUAUAAAUAUAUGUUUGAAAAAUUCCAACAGCUCAGUCAUCUAUGACAACAGACGCAAAUGUUCAUUUAAUAACUAAAUCAGAUAUGUCAUCUGUUACAACAGAUAUCAAUAUUUGUUGUUUGAAAAUUCCAACAACUCAGUCAUUUGUCACAACAGAUGCAAAUUUCUAUUUGAUAAUUAAAUCAAAUAUGUCAUCUGUUGCAACAUAUAUGAUUAUUUAUUUGAAAAUAUCCAACUCAGUCGUUUGUUACAAUAGAUUUCAUUGCAAUUAAUUUAGGUGGAACUAGGGAUGAAUGAAUGAGCUCACAGGGUCAACAACAACUUCAAAUGAGUCGUUACAUUUGCAUGGUGUUCGUAUUGCGUUCAUCCCUACCCGAGUCGUCGAUUGAUCACUCUAAGUUGAAAUAAGUUCUCAUUAACUUAAUGUUAAGAUUAAUAGUACCUAAAUUGAUUUAGGUGGAACUAGGAAUGAAUGAAUGAGCUCACAGGGUCAACAACAACUUCAAUUUAGUCGUUGCAUUUGCAUGGUGUUGUUAUUAAGUUCAUCCCGACCCGAGUAGUUGAUCGAUCACUCUAAGUUGAAAUGAGUUCUCAUUAACUUAAUGUUAAGAUUAAUAGUACCUAAAUUGAUUUAGGUGGAACUAGGUGUCGCGCCCUAUUUCGAACCGAUUGAAAACGCACACAACGUAUGGUGGCUACGUGUUUAAUGUGACUCUUGGGUUUUGAAAAUUCAUUUUUUAGAGUCACCACCUAACUUUUUAGGAAAAUUAGAAAAAAUCAUUUUUUAUGUAGAAAACUCUGUUUUGGUCUAUCGAAAAUAUUUUGAGAUUCUGAAUAAGGGUUUUGGUUACUCGAGGGGAAGGUGUUAAGCAUCCCUCAGAGCCUAUCCGAAGAUAGUCCUUAUGCUUAGUUUAGGAAAAUAUUGCUUUUAUUUAUUUGCGAAAAUAGUGUAAAGAAAACUUUCAUCAUUAUUUUCUAUUUAUUAUUUUAUAUAAAAGAAAGAAAACUUAAGGUAUGACAAACGUGAUGCUACCAUGUACAAGGAAGUAAUGCAAUCAUCGCAUAUAUAUAUGUGUGUUACAUGAAUAUCUUAUAAUAUGAAAAUAGUUUUUUUUUUUUUUUAUGAUUUGGAUAAAAUAAAGGGAAAACUUCAUUGUCUUUACAUGUAUAAAAUUGAAUAGGUAAAUAAAAUUUAUAAAAAUAUUUUUUUGGCAUGGAAUAAUUUAAGACAAAAUGCGAAUAUAGAUAUAUUUGAAAAUGCGAAAAGAUGUAAAGUUUUACUUAAUUUUAAAAAAAAAAGAUUUAGAUUAGAAGUAAGCGAAAAGAAAAAUGUGAUGAUAUAAUAUAUAAGCAUAGUAAAAUUUUGAUAAUGACAAUUAUAACAAUAAUGGAUAACAGUAGUAUUAAUAAAGUUAAUAAUAAUAAUAAUAAUCAUAAUAAUAAUAGUAAUAAUAUUAAUAAUUGAAACAGUGAUAAAUACUAUUGUGUAAAUAAUAAUGGUAAUAGUAGAUAUGAUGUAAGAUAGUUGUUAUGAAAGUAAUGCGAUGUACUUUGUACGUGGUAGCGAAAGAAUGUAUAAUACCUCGUAUUUUCUAAUCUUUCGAGAAUCUAAAAACCCAAACGAACAUUAAAAAUAUAAAAUAUAGCUUGACCAUUAGAGUUAUGUAAAAAAAAAAGGUUAAAGUUGAUGAAUAAACUCUUUUAGAAAAAUCUGAAAUUUUGAUAACUUUCUCAAUUACGUUAAAAUUGAAAAUCUAUUUAUUUGUCUUUUGUUAUAGUUUGAAGAAAAAUGUGAAGAUUACUAUGCUAAUCUCAUUUAAUAUAUCGGUAAAGAGUUUUUCCAAAGAAUUAGCCGAUUAUAGAAUAUUUUCCUUAGCGAUAGCCACAUGUUAUUUGCGAAAGUCGAAAUGUUAAAACUACUUUUGAGGGAUUGACAACAACAACAACAAACCCAGUGUAUUCCCACUUAGUGGGGUCUGGGAUUUUGAGGGAUUGACAAGAUGGCAUAAAUUUUAAUAACUAAGUAAAGUUGUCUAAAAAGAUUCAAUAACAAGAGUUAGUAUUAUUCUAAAACUCAACAUGACAAAUAUAAAUUAACUUCAAAGAAGAUAAGAGAUACUAGAUUCCAUUUAGGAGUUGGGCUUCUAAUUUGCUCGACUCCGAAGUUCUACUCCUAGUAGCGAUUGACCCAAUGUUGGGUUAAAACGAGUUCCGCUGCGGAACUCCAACUCCCGAGUUUACAUGUUAAAAAAAGAAAGAUAAAGAUUAAUAACUUAUGAAAUAAUCAGGAAAUAUACAUGAAUUGGUAAUGGAUAUUAGCAAAAUACAUCAAACAUCGUUUAUAGUUCCAACAAAGAAAACAAACUUAUUAACUUAAACCAGGAAGCACCUUUCCAUUUAACUGGACUUAAACAUACUCCAAAUAUAAUGCUAGGAGCCAAAUUGAGAUGAUCUGUUUCAAUUUCAAUCAACUUUGUACUUAAGAGAAUAAAGGCCUACGCAUCUCGUGGCUCCCCUUGAAGAGCCAAAGCUAGAUUGCUAACGUAACAAUAUUAUAAAAACCUUCUAAAUUAUAAUAUCAAUGUUGGUUCCUGUGUUGUGAACCCAAACUUAUACUAUUAUCCAACAUUAUCUUGUACCUAUAAUAUUUAAAUACUUUAGUACACACAAGUUACGUAACAACUCUAUUAACGUUUCAACACUAAAAGGAUUGCAAAAAAUCCAAUCUCGAUCCCGAUACUAGAAUACAAACAAGAGCCUCUCAGAACAAAAACAUAAAAUCCAAAUAUAAUUCGAGAAGCAAGCCAAAACUGAACGCAUUAUUCUUGCAUGAAAAUAACUUGAACAUAUCAUUCUUGCGCGUAAGGCAUAUUCCAGAUUUCAUUCGUAUCUUAUUUCGACAACUAAUUCGCCCACUAUUACACCUGCCUAUAGACCUAUGGAUUUAAACAUGAAAUUCAAGAAAAGAGAAAAAAAAAACUUUGGGGAUCAAAUCUAGAGAUUGCUGCAAAGGAAAAUUUCUAUCAUGGGUUUUAACAACCUAACUUAUUUGUGUUAAGACUUCAAACUACAUUUCCCAUUACUUUUACUUUAAACAACUUCAGCAAAGUAAAGGACCUUAGCAAAAUAAGAACGGUAGCAGACAUAGAUUUAUUUCUGGGGGACUAUUAUUAAAUGCCUGUUCUCCCAGGGAAUGGGACUUCAUUCGACAUCAAAAUAUGAUUUGUGAUCCGAUUCUCGUAACGUAAAUGAAAAAAAAAAAAACUGAAACUAGGAUGAAGUAUUUGCGAAACCAAAAGCGUGGAUUCGCUAUUACCACAUAAAAAAGGUAAUAAAAGGGGUGUAUGAAACCCGAAUACUCUUUUAGUAUUUUAAAUUAAGUAAACUAGUACCUAAACUAGUAUUUUCAGGAGCAAAACAUGUUUCAAGAGAGGGGCGAAACUGGUUUAAAUCAAGCUAUCUAUUCAGCACACACUCAAGGAGAGUUGCAAAUAUUUAUAUCCGAUCUUUAGAUAAAAGAAAACCACAUGAAAUUUAUUUCUACUUAGGAGUGAGCACAAACCAAACUAAUAGAUGAAACUCUGCAGGGAGAUACGAAUCAGUAAGAAAAUGGUUUUUCUCUCAUUAUUAGGAGAAUAAAAAUAAUCAACUCCGGCAACCAUAGACAAGACCCGGACCUAAAUACGCACCAAAUAACAUCAAAGGUGACCUUGUUGUUCAGUUUUGGCUACAGGGCACGUACCAAGGUUGACAUAUACUAAUGGCUCAAGUAAAUGCUAACUAUAAACAAAGCUUAACCAACCAAAAAUAAUGACCUUAAAUUUUAAUAUUCCAUCUUUAUCAUAAGGAGUUAACUAUUUUUCAUCAAGCAAUCCGAAGCAAACUUCACUAUGAUGCCCGAUAAACGACCUCAAACCAUGUUCACGUAGACCAGGUAGUCAAGAAAUUUAAUCAAGAUCAUGUGUCAGACUUGAUUUUUACAAAAAAAAAAAAAAAAAAAAAAAAAGGACUACAAACCCCAACCAAAAUUGUAACUGAGUCGAGCCUUAUGUUUUCAUACCCGUAGACCGGUACGUUUGCAUUUUCACCCCCACAGAGAUGCCUCACAAAAUCAAAACUAGUUUUAUCCGCAAGCCGACAGAAAACAACUAAACUUCCAAAAUCACAUAUUUUAAAAUAACAGAUUCCGACUAAAAAGAUUGUGCUCAUGAGUUUGAUUUACAGGUGGAAUAAGUAGCAAUAUCAACACACAUAUACAUACUUAGCCGGAUAUGAAAAUAAGAAGAUAUGAUGCUUUUCACACCAAUUUGUUUUCCACAACAUCAAAUCCAAUUUUGGAUGAAACCAAACCCAAAACCAAUUCACAAAUAAUCGGACCACAACACCAUCAUAACUAAUUAAAGUUAAAGACCACCUAUUCACUAACAUCAAUUUUCUAGAAGCAACAAAAACAAAAUAAUCUUCGUCGACGCUCACAUACGAACCCAAUUUUCAAAAUCGGUUAGCAACUUUAGACUUUGACUGAAAUUUACCUCUAAAUCCAUUUUAGAAUCAAGACCAUAUUUAGCCUCUAAGGUAACAAAAAAUGUCCACAACAAAUUUCAAAAUGGAUUGUCGUUAUAAGUUCAUAGAACAAACGAUAAGAAAUAUAAAAAAUGAAGAAACAAAAUCAAAAGGGGGAAAUUCACUCCUUUUUGGGGGCAGAAAAUGGGAGCUUUUUGUCAAAAUGUUUUCUGGCGAUGGAUUCAACUUUUGGGGAUUUUGAACGCCUGCGAUCUAGUUCACUCGAUCUUACACUAUUUUUUUUUUUUCACUCUUUCCUUAAUUUUCUUCCUUCUUUUUGCCUUCUCCUUACUCUUUUCUUUUUUUCCUCCAAUUUUCUUCUGCUCUCCUAAAGGAAUGACCAUAACCCCCUUUAUAAGCACACUCUGGAGUGUGAGAGCUUCUCAAGGAGGCUCCAAAUUGAAUUCAAAAUUCAAAUUCAAAUUGUUGAUGGAAUAAUCCACAAGUUUUGAAAGAAAAUAGAGUAAAAAUAGGGAUUUACCCCUUUUUCAGGAUGAUUUGAAAGGCAUGAGGGAUGAACAUGAACUUGUUAUCUUCUUAUCCAAGUUAACAGUGGAGAGGGUGAGACUUUGGGCCCUCAAGCCAUAGAAAUAGGAGAAGAAGGGAUUCACGCUGACAAGAUUUAAUGGAUUUGAGGUGAGAAAUAUGACUUCGCAGGGAUAAGAUCUGGGUUCUUUGACUUGGAGGACUUCGAUUGAUUGUCGUCACUGUUUGGCGGAUUUUUGGCGUGGGAAGAUGGGAUAAGCAGGCAGUGGUUGAGUUUUGUCGGGGUAGGAGGUGGGGUGGUGGAGAUGAAAUAAGGAAGAGAGGAGGAAGAAGAUCUCACUUAUUAAGGAAAGGGAUAAGAUGUAAUACUGCUUUUCUUUUGGUAAGAGGCACGUGCUUGGUCUGUUUUUUCUUUUAAAAAAAGAAAAGACGUUUUGUUGUACUGGUUGUUGAUUAGAAUAUGGUCCGUCCGAUCAUUUGAUUGGAUGGUUAAAAAUAAAUAUCUUAUAAUUAAUAUAAAACAAAAGUUAUAUAUAUGUAUAUAUAAAUAUCCAUAUGUAU